UCACCAUGGUUUAUGAUGUGGCGAUCGCUUCCUAAUCAUCGUUCUUGUCGAUCCGAAAAUCAAAAUACCAGCGUGAUAUUGCCUCGAAUAUGAAGCAGUUAUGUAAUUUGAUUCGUACUUAACAUUCGAGUCGAAGCUUGAGUGGCACAGGUUAUUUCUUACGGUGGAAUCGACGAGGGGAACUCGAACACCAGUUGUAGUGUUUGAAUUGUUGGAAGAAAUGGUCGCAUGGGAAUGUAGGAAUGAUCUACCUGCUUGAUUUAUAUCGGCUACGCUUCAUGUUUACAAGUCCCUCAAAAUGGCAGCCAAACUUGGAGAUUGCCGAAAAUUAGGUACAUGAAUGUCUUAUAACACACAAGAAAUGAGCGAAAUCCGUGUCUCAAGCAAAAUCGACCGGACCGCUCUUACAGAGACACUAUCUUAAAGUGUCUAAACUACUUGGACCUUGCACUUCUAGUAGCGUUACGGAAACCACGAGUACUAGCAGUGAACUUUUAGAAGGUGAAAGCAGUGUGCGUGGAAUGUUAGAUCAGCUGAAUUCUGGAAUGUUCUUGAAUUGCAAUGUAAACGUUAAUGUCAACUGCAAAGAAUGAUUAUUCUUAUCCUGGAAGUCAAUAAACAUUUGUUCAAGGACUGCAUUCUUUUGGAAAUUGAUUUCCAAGCACACGUGUUUGGAUAUCCUAACGUGUGUUUGGAUAUCUAAUCACGCGUGUUUGGAUCUGUUCUUUACCGAGUAUCAAGGAGUAUCUAUGUGAAUCAAAUGAGGCCUUACGCAUUAUUAAUGAGUUCGAGAAAACAUGUUCGCAUACUCGUGCAAUAUUUUGAAAGACUGGAAGACAAACUUCUUUAUCUCUGUGCGGCCAUGUAAUAUCCUCUAUUUCAUACUCGAAAUCUUUCUCUUGCUCGAAAUUUUAAAAUCCUAUCGGCCAAAGCAAGGAAUUUGCGAAUUGACUUUAUUGAGGUGAUACGAAUCUUGGUUCGAUAAUGGAGGUAAUCUCGCUCAAUAGGUCCAGUAAGGGAAGAGUAU
This is a non-coding RNA of Pocillopora verrucosa, 1027 nucleotides long. The record is from RefSeq and is a predicted model, not a curated record. Lineage: Eukaryota; Metazoa; Cnidaria; Anthozoa; Scleractinia; Pocilloporidae.